RNAcentral lists this ribosomal RNA (476 nucleotides) under uncultured bacterium. Its description in RNAcentral is "bacterial SSU rRNA". It matches the Rfam family "Bacterial small subunit ribosomal RNA", at positions 28 to 484 of the family's 1533-position model. The record is from RNAcentral.
GAUGAACGCUGGCGGCGUGCCUAAUACAUGCAAGUCGAGCGAAUGAAUUAAGAGCUUGCUCUUAUGAAGUUAGCGGCGGACGGGUGAGUAACACGUGGGUAACCUGCCCAUAAGACUGGGAUAACUCCGGGAAACCGGGGCUAAUACCGGAUAACAUUUUGAACUGCAUGGUUCGAAAUUGAAAGGCGGCUUCGGCUGUCACUUAUGGAUGGACCCGCGUCGCAUUAGCUAGUUGGUGAGGUAACGGCUCACCAAGGCAACGAUGCGUAGCCGACCUGAGAGGGUGAUCGGCCACACUGGGACUGAGACACGGCCCAGACUCCUACGGGAGGCAGCAGUAGGGAAUCUUCCGCAAUGGACGAAAGUCUGACGGAGCAACGCCGCGUGAGUGAUGAAGGCUUUCGGGUCGUAAAACUCUGUUGUUAGGGAAGAACAAGUGCUAGUUGAAUAAGCUGGCACCUUGACGGUACCUAACC